CGUGCGCUGGUGGACGGCGGGGACGCCGCGCGGUUCAUGCGCGUCCGGCAGGCCGAUGCGUUGUUCGAACCUGUCGCGUCCGU
This 83-nucleotide transfer RNA is filed under the name Burkholderia anthina. Its description in RNAcentral is "tRNA-Sec". Lineage: Bacteria; Pseudomonadati; Pseudomonadota; Betaproteobacteria; Burkholderiales; Burkholderiaceae. The record is from RNAcentral.